This 265-nucleotide ribosomal RNA is filed under the name uncultured bacterium. RNAcentral describes it as "partial 16S ribosomal RNA". It matches the Rfam family "Bacterial small subunit ribosomal RNA", at positions 793 to 1055 of the family's 1533-position model. The record is from RNAcentral.
GUCCACGCCCUAAACGAUGUCAACUAGUUGUCGGGGAGGGAGACCUCUUUGGUAACGCAGCUAACGCGCGAAGUUGACCGCCUGGGGAGUACGGUCGCAAGAUUAAAACUCAAAGGAAUUGACGGGGACCCGCACAAGCGGUGGAUGAUGUGGAUUAAUUCGAUGCAACGCGAAAACCUUACCUACCCUUGACAUGCCUGGAAGUGGCCAGAGAUGGCUUCGUGCCCGAAAGGGAGCCAGGACACAGGUGCUGCAUGGCUGUCGU